This 429-nucleotide ribosomal RNA is filed under the name Acidobacteriota bacterium. RNAcentral's name for it is "Acidobacteria bacterium partial 16S ribosomal RNA". It matches the Rfam family "Bacterial small subunit ribosomal RNA", at positions 355 to 776 of the family's 1533-position model. Lineage: Bacteria; Pseudomonadati; Acidobacteriota. The record is from RNAcentral.
UGGGGAAUUUUGGACAAUGGGGGAAACCCUGAUCCAGCCAUCCCGCGUGUGCGAUGAAGGCCUUCGGGUUGUAAAGCACUUUUGGCAGGAAAGAAACGUCAUGGGUUAAUACCCCGUGAAACUGACGGUACCUGCAGAAUAAGCACCGGCUAACUACGUGCCAGCAGCCGCGGUAAUACGUAGGGUGCAAGCGUUAAUCGGAAUUACUGGGCGUAAAGCGUGCGCAGGCGGUUCGGAAAGAAAGAUGUGAAAUCCCAGAGCUCAACUUUGGAACUGCAUUUGUAACUACCGGGCUAGAGUGUGUGAGAGGGAGGUGGAAGUCCGCGUGUAGCAGUGAAAUGCGUAGAUAUGCGGAGGAACACCGAUGGCGAAGGCAGCCUCCUGGGAUAACACUGACGCUCAUGCACGAAAGCGUGGGGAGCAAACAGG